AUUACUUUGGCAGAUAAGUGCAAUGAAUUUAGGUUUCAUGAAUGGGAAUUAUAAUUUCGCAGGUAAUA
Molecule: transfer RNA, 68 nt
Filed under: Grylloblatta sculleni
Lineage: Eukaryota; Metazoa; Arthropoda; Insecta; Grylloblattodea; Grylloblattidae
Description: tRNA-Leu
Source: RNAcentral